UUAGGAAUCUUGGACAAUGGGCGCAAGCCUGAUCCAGCCAUGCCGCGUGAGUGAUGAAGGCCUUAGGGCUGUAAAGCUCUUUCAGCGGGGAAGAUAAUGACGGUACCCGCAGAAGAAGCCCCGGCUAACUUCGUGCCAGCAGCCGCGGUAAUACGAAGGGGGCUAGCGUUGCUCGGAAUCACUGGGCGUAAAGCGCACGUAGGCGGCUUUCUAAGUCAGGGGUGAAAUCCUGGAGCUCAACUCCAGAACUGCCUUUGAUACUGGGAAGCUCGAGUCCGGAAGAGGUGAGUGGAACUCCGAGUGUAGAGGUGAAAUUCGUAGAUAUUCGGAAGAACACCAGUGGCGAAGGCGGCUCACUGGUCCGGUACUGACGCUGAGGUGCGAAAGCGUGGGGAGCAAACA
This 402-nucleotide ribosomal RNA is filed under the name uncultured bacterium. RNAcentral describes it as "bacterial SSU rRNA". It matches the Rfam family "Bacterial small subunit ribosomal RNA", at positions 355 to 774 of the family's 1533-position model. The record is from RNAcentral.